CAGUCGCCGCGGUAAAACGAGGGGGGCAAGCGUUGUUCGGAAUUAUUGGGCGUAAAGGGCGCGUAGGCGGUUUGGCAAGUUUGGUGUGAAAUCUUCGGGCUCAACUCGAAGUCUGCAUCGAAAACUGCCGGGCUUGAGUAUGGGAGAGGUGAGUGGAAUUUCCGGUGUAGCGGUGAAAUGCGUGGAUAUCGGAAGGAACACCUGUGGCGAAAGCGAGGUCCUGGACGUUUUCUGACGCUGAGACGCGGAAGCUAGGGGAGCGAACGGGAUUAGAUACCCCAGUAGUCCCUGUCUCUUAUAC
Molecule: ribosomal RNA, 301 nt
Filed under: uncultured bacterium
Lineage: Bacteria
Description: partial 16S ribosomal RNA
Rfam family: Bacterial small subunit ribosomal RNA
Source: RNAcentral